Molecule: ribosomal RNA, 422 nt
Filed under: uncultured bacterium
Lineage: Bacteria
Description: bacterial SSU rRNA
Rfam family: Bacterial small subunit ribosomal RNA
Source: RNAcentral
UCGAGAAUCUUCGGCAAUGGGCGCAAGCCUGACCGAGCGACGCCGCGUGGAGGACGAAGGCCUUCGGGUUGUAAACUCCUGUCGAGGGGGAACAAGGGGCGGUGCAGAGCCGUCCUUGAGUGAACCCUGGAGGAAGCACGGGCUAAGUUCGUGCCAGCAGCCGCGGUAAGACGAACCGUGCGAACGUUAUUCGGAAUCACUGGGCUUAAAGCGCGUGUAGGCGGCCCGGCACGUCCGUCGCUGAAAGCCCCCGGCUCAACCGGGGAACGGGCGCGGAUACGACCGGGCUGGAGGGGGGUAGGGGGCGCCGGAACGGCCGGUGGAGCGGUGAAAUGCGUUGAGAUCGGCCGGAACGCCCGUGGCGAAAGCGGGCGCCUGGACCUCGCCUGACGCUGAGACGCGAAAGCCAGGGGAGCGAACGG